Molecule: non-coding RNA, 115 nt
Organism: Triticum urartu
Lineage: Eukaryota; Viridiplantae; Streptophyta; Magnoliopsida; Poales; Poaceae
Source: Rfam
CUUGUACUCUCUCCGUUCGAAAUUACUUGUCUCGAAUAUGGGUGUAUCUAGAACUAAAAUAUGUCUAGAUGCAUCCAUUUCUGCGACAAGUAAUUCCGAACGGAGGGAGUACAUA